GAUGAACGCUGGCGGCGUGCCUAAUACAUGCAAGUCGAGCGAACAGACGAGGAGCUUGCUCCUCUGACGUUAGCGGCGGACGGGUGAGUAACACGUGGAUAACCUACCUAUAAGACUGGGAUAACUUCGGGAAACCGGAGCUAAUACCGGAUAAUAUAUUGAACCGCAUGGUUCAAUAUUGAAAGACGGUUUUGCUGUCACUUAUAGAUUGAUCCGCGCCGCAUUAGCUAGUUGGUAAGGUAACGGCUUACCAAGGCAACGAUGCGUAGCCGACCUGAGAGGGUGACCGGCACAACGGGACUUGAGCACCGGUCCAGCUUCCUCCGGGAGGAAGAAGUAGGGAAUCUUCCGCAAUGGGCGAAAGCCUGCCGGAGCAACGCCGCGUGAGUGAUGAAGGUCUUCGGAUCGAAAACCUCUGUUAUUAGGGAAGAACAAAUGUGUAAGUAAAUAUGCACGUCUUGACGGUACCUAAUCAGAAAGCCACGGCUAACUACGUG
This 497-nucleotide ribosomal RNA is filed under the name uncultured bacterium. Its description in RNAcentral is "partial 16S ribosomal RNA". It matches the Rfam family "Bacterial small subunit ribosomal RNA", at positions 28 to 507 of the family's 1533-position model. The record is from RNAcentral.